GAGCGGUUAUGGAAAGUGAGUAAGGCUUGCCGUUAUCACAUUUGUUCCCGUCUAACUUUAGUUUCAUUUCACAUUAGUUCUUCCCCUUUUCCACAAAACCUUGCUUAAAGUGAGGUUUCACCUAAUUCUUGACAAAAAUUUACAUUUCUGCUGCUUCUGAAUGUUUUGGAAGUUUAAAAGUAGAUUAAAAAGUUUUAGGCACCAAGUGUUGGAUGUGUACAAUAAUGAUAAGGCGAGGAAAAUUCUGGAAGAGGUUUUACUCUGGUGUCCAGACCUUUACUUUGCUAUAACAGACACUUGAACAUUUUUAGCUUUCUACCAGGGGGCUGAGCAAUGAAAGCUUAGCGGGGCUCUGGGAUCACUUUCAGAGAGAAGAAAGGGCUUCGGUUGAGUCCGACUGCAGGAGCACUGCCCGUUCCUGAGGUGUCGGCAUGAACAGAUCAAGUAACGUCCCUCCCUUAGAGAUGACUUUGGGCAACAUAGCUCUGGAAAGUUUACUCUUCUCGAGUCUAAUUCCCAGCUGAACUUGUAUGUGUACAUACAUUAUAUGUGCUCUGAAAUUUGGGGAGUCACGUUACAACUCAUUUCAUCACGCGCAGGAAGACAUCGGCAUUGAGGGAGCACCUCGAAACACAUUAGUUGCGUCAGCAGCCUUGGUCUUGAAGCCUGGGGAACGGAUCGUCUUUUGGGACACUCGGCAGUACAAUUUUUCAGUUCCCUGAUCUUGCUGUUGUCAAGGCUAGAUGGAUAAACGCACAGUCUGAAACAACUAGUCCCGAGGGGUGCGGCAAACCGGAUCCUAACCCGGCAACACAGGGCACAAGGCUGGAGGGGGAGGGGACGCACC
Molecule: long non-coding RNA, 847 nt
Organism: Scleropages formosus (Asian bonytongue)
Lineage: Eukaryota; Metazoa; Chordata; Actinopteri; Osteoglossiformes; Osteoglossidae
Exons: 3
Source: RefSeq, a predicted model, not a curated record